CAGCAGCCGCGGGAAUACAGAGGAUGCAAGCGUUAUCCGGAAUGAUCGGGCGUAAAGCGCGCGUAGGUGGUUUGUUAAGUUGGAUGUGAAAUCCCCGGGCUCAACCUGGGAACUGCAUUCAAAACUGACUGACUAGAGUAUGGUAGAGGGUGGUGGAAUUUCCUGUGUAGCGGUGAAAUGCGUAGAUAUAGGAAGGAACACCAGUGGCGAAGGCGACCACCUGGACUAAUACUGACACUGAGGUGCGAAAGCGUGGGGAGCAAACAGGAUUAGAUACCCCUGUAGUCCCUGUCUCUUAUAC
Molecule: ribosomal RNA, 301 nt
Filed under: uncultured bacterium
Lineage: Bacteria
Description: partial 16S ribosomal RNA
Rfam family: Bacterial small subunit ribosomal RNA
Source: RNAcentral